RNAcentral lists this long non-coding RNA (311 nucleotides) under Lathyrus oleraceus (garden pea). Its description in RNAcentral is "Pisum sativum (pea) long non-coding RNA (PSAT_LNC035690)". Lineage: Eukaryota; Viridiplantae; Streptophyta; Magnoliopsida; Fabales; Fabaceae. The record is from RNAcentral.
UUAAGUUUAUUUACAAAUUUGAUUUAAGAAAAGAAGUUUGAAAAUGCAAUGGCAUAAGGCCAAAGUUUCUAUCUUUUUGCAAAGUGGUCAAAGUUUAGAACAAAAUAAGUUCAAUCAAAGAAGAUUUUGAAAAGGGAGGGAGAGAUUUUGAAAUUAAAGAAAUGGGGAGAAGAUGAAGAGACUAAUCCUAUACACAAAAUUAAAAGAUAAGAGUUGAAAAGAUCUGACCAAUGGGUAGAAAUCCAAUAGACAAGAAUGUCAAUAGAAACCCAGAAUUCCCUUGGACUUUUAGAAUCAAGCAACACACAAAU